GACGAACGCUGGCGGCGUGCUUAACACAUGCAAGUCGAACGGAAAGGCCCUGCUUGCAUGGUACUCGAGUGGCGAACGGGUGAGUAACACGUGGGUGAUCUGCCCUGCACUUCGUGAUAAGCUUGGGAAACUGGGUCUAAUACCGGAUAGGAACCAUCUUUAGUGUGGUGGUUGGAAAGUUUUUUCGGUGUAGGAUGAGCUCGCGGCCUAUCAGCUUGUUGGCGGGGUAAUGGCCUACCAAGGCGGCGACGGGUAGCCGGCCUGAGAGGGUGUACGGCCACAUUGGGACUGAGAUACAGGCCAGACUCCUACGGGAGGCAGCAGUGGGGAAUAUUGCACAAUGGGCGACAGCCUGAUGCAGCGACGCCGCGUGGGGGAUGAAGGCCUUCGGGUUGUAAACUCCUUUCGCUAGGGACGAAGCUUUGUUGUGACGGUACCUAGAUAAGAAGCACCGGCUAACUACGUG
RNAcentral lists this ribosomal RNA (466 nucleotides) under uncultured bacterium. RNAcentral describes it as "partial 16S ribosomal RNA". It matches the Rfam family "Bacterial small subunit ribosomal RNA", at positions 28 to 507 of the family's 1533-position model. The record is from RNAcentral.